Molecule: unclassified non-coding RNA, 357 nt
Filed under: soil metagenome
Description: partial contains 5.8S ribosomal RNA, internal transcribed spacer 2, and large subunit ribosomal RNA
Rfam family: 5.8S ribosomal RNA (bases 1-120)
Source: RNAcentral
GAUGAAGAACGCAGCGAAAUGCGAUAAGUAAUGUGAAUUGCAGAAUUCAGUGAAUCAUCGAAUCUUUGAACGCGCAUUGCGCCCGCUGGUAUUCCGGCGGGCAUGCCUGUUCGAGCGUCAUUUCAACCCUCAAGCUCUCCGGAGUUUGGUGUUGGGGCGCCUGGGGCUUUUCGACCUCAGGGCCCUCAAGUCCAUCGGCGGGACCGCCAGGACACUGAGCGCAGUAGUAUUAUUUCGCUCGGUAGGAUCUUCCACGGCGGGUCGAUCUGGCCGCUAAACCCCCCAAUUCUCACCAAAGGUUGACCUCGGAUCAGGUAGGAAUACCCGCUGAACUUAAGCAUAUCAAUAAGCGGAGGA